This 100-nucleotide ribosomal RNA is filed under the name Fulvifomes fastuosus. RNAcentral describes it as "partial 28S ribosomal RNA". It matches the Rfam family "Eukaryotic large subunit ribosomal RNA", at positions 1 to 99 of the family's 3401-position model. Lineage: Eukaryota; Fungi; Basidiomycota; Agaricomycetes; Hymenochaetales; Hymenochaetaceae. The record is from RNAcentral.
UUGACCUCAAAUCAGGUAGGAUUACCCGCUGAACUUAAGCAUAUCAAUAAGCGGAGGAAAAGAAACUAACAAGGAUUCCCCUAGUAACUGCGAGUGAAGC